GAUGAACGCUGGCGGCGUGCCUAAUACAUGCAAGUCGAGCGAACGGACGAGAAGCUUGCUUCUCUGAUGUUAGCGGCGGACGGGUGAGUAACACGUGGAUAACCUACCUAUAAGACUGGGAUAACUUCGGGAAACCGGAGCUAAUACCGGAUAAUAUUUUGAACCGCAUGGUUCAAAAGUGAAAGACGGUCUUGCUGUCACUUAUAGAUGGAUCCGCGCUGCAUUAGCUAGUUGGUAAGGUAACGGCUUACGAAGGCAACGAUGCAUAGCCGACCUGAGGGGCUGAUCGGCCACACGGGAAGUGAGACACGGUCCAGACUCCUACGGGAGGCAGCAGUAGCGAAUCUUCCGCAAUGGGCGAAAGCCUUGCGGAGCAACGCCACGUGAGUUAUGAAGGUCUUCGGAUCGUAAAACUCUGUUAUGAGGGAAGAACAUAUGUGUAAGUAACUGUGCACAGCGUGACGGUACCUAAUCAGAAAGCCACGGCUAACUACGUG
Molecule: ribosomal RNA, 497 nt
Filed under: uncultured bacterium
Lineage: Bacteria
Description: partial 16S ribosomal RNA
Rfam family: Bacterial small subunit ribosomal RNA
Source: RNAcentral